UAUUAAAAAUUUCAUCAAUUUCUACUGUUAGAAACUAGCUUAGCUGAUGGAAUAAUCAGAUGGUUACACAUGGCAUGCCAUUGUACCUCAUGCUAACAUGUAGGGACCAGUUUUUAACAUUAGAAAUGGACAAAUUUUUUAACA
This is a non-coding RNA of Gossypium hirsutum (cotton), 144 nucleotides long. Lineage: Eukaryota; Viridiplantae; Streptophyta; Magnoliopsida; Malvales; Malvaceae. The record is from Rfam.